Molecule: transfer RNA, 72 nt
Organism: Corchorus capsularis
Lineage: Eukaryota; Viridiplantae; Streptophyta; Magnoliopsida; Malvales; Malvaceae
Rfam family: tRNA
About the family: Transfer RNA (tRNA) molecules are approximately 80 nucleotides in length. Their secondary structure includes four short double-helical elements and three loops (D, anti-codon, and T loops).
Source: Rfam
UGGGGCGUGGUCAAGUGGUAAGGCAACAGGUUUUGGUCCCGCUAUUCGGAGGUUCGAAUCCUUCCGUCCCAG